GUUUACCAUCAUUGGACGGUGUGUCGCGCGAAAUAAUUACGUCGAUAUCUCCAAGGUCAAGGUCACACUUUGAGUUCAAAGGUCAAAAAUGGCCAUAAAUGAGCUUGUCCUGGCCAUAACUAUGUCAUUCAUUGUGAGAUUUUAAAAUCAUUUGGCACAUUUGUUCACCAUCAUGGGACGGUGUGUCCCACGAAAGAAUCACGUCAAUAUCUCCAAUGUCAAGGUCGCCACGACUAAAAAUAGAUUUAAAAAAAAAAAAAAAUUACAAAGGGGGUUAAUUUUUUUUGGUCAUUUCAAAAGUU
Long non-coding RNA from Dreissena polymorpha, 302 nucleotides. RefSeq lists it as uncharacterized. The transcript is spliced from 2 exons. NCBI's taxonomy places the organism in Eukaryota, Metazoa, Mollusca, Bivalvia, Myida, Dreissenidae. The record is from RefSeq and is a predicted model, not a curated record.